This 2812-nucleotide ribosomal RNA is filed under the name Escherichia coli. Its description in RNAcentral is "partial 23S ribosomal RNA". It matches the Rfam family "Bacterial large subunit ribosomal RNA". Lineage: Bacteria; Pseudomonadati; Pseudomonadota; Gammaproteobacteria; Enterobacterales; Enterobacteriaceae. The record is from RNAcentral.
CCGGCGAUUUCCGAAUGGGGAAACCCAGUGUGAUUCGUCACACUAUCAUUAACUGAAUCCAUAGGUUAAUGAGGCGAACCGGGGGAACUGAAACAUCUAAGUACCCCGAGGAAAAGAAAUCAACCGAGAUUCCCCCAGUAGCGGCGAGCGAACGGGGAGGAGCCCAGAGCCUGAAUCAGUGUGUGUGUUAGUGGAAGCGUCUGGAAAGGCGCGCGAUACAGGGUGACAGCCCCGUACACAAAAAUGCACAUGCUGUGAGCUCGAUGAGUAGGGCGGGACACGUGGUAUCCUGUCUGAAUAUGGGGGGACCAUCCUCCAAGGCUAAAUACUCCUGACUGACCGAUAGUGAACCAGUACCGUGAGGGAAAGGCGAAAAGAACCCCGGCGAGGGGAGUGAAAAAGAACCUGAAACCGUGUACGUACAAGCAGUGGGAGCCUCUUAAUGGGGUGACUGCGUACCUUUUGUAUAAUGGGUCAGCGACUUAUAUUCUGUAGCAAGGUUAACCGAAUAGGGGAGCCGAAGGGAAACCGAGUCUUAACUGGGCGUUAAGUUGCAGGGUAUAGACCCGAAACCCGGUGAUCUAGCCAUGGGCAGGUUGAAGGUUGGGUAACACUAACUGGAGGACCGAACCGACUAAUGUUGAAAAAUUAGCGGAUGACUUGUGGCUGGGGGUGAAAGGCCAAUCAAACCGGGAGAUAGCUGGUUCUCCCCGAAAGCUAUUUAGGUAGCGCCUCGUGAAUUCAUCUCCGGGGGUAGAGCACUGUUUCGGCAAGGGGGUCAUCCCGACUUACCAACCCGAUGCAAACUGCGAAUACCGGAGAAUGUUAUCACGGGAGACACACGGCGGGUGCUAACGUCCGUCGUGAAGAGGGAAACAACCCAGACCGCCAGCUAAGGUCCCAAAGUCAUGGUUAAGUGGGAAACGAUGUGGGAAGGCCCAGACAGCCAGGAUGUUGGCUUAGAAGCAGCCAUCAUUUAAAGAAAGCGUAAUAGCUCACUGGUCGAGUCGGCCUGCGCGGAAGAUGUAACGGGGCUAAACCAUGCACCGAAGCUGCGGCAGCGACACUAUGUGUUGUUGGGUAGGGGAGCGUUCUGUAAGCCUGUGAAGGUGGCCUGUGAGGGUUGCUGGAGGUAUCAGAAGUGCGAAUGCUGACAUAAGUAACGAUAAAGCGGGUGAAAAGCCCGCUCGCCGGAAGACCAAGGGUUCCUGUCCAACGUUAAUCGGGGCAGGGUGAGUCGACCCCUAAGGCGAGGCCGAAAGGCGUAGUCGAUGGGAAACAGGUUAAUAUUCCUGUACUUGGUGUUACUGCGAAGGGGGGACGGAGAAGGCUAUGUUGGCCGGGCGACGGUUGUCCCGGUUUAAGCGUGUAGGCUGGUUUUCCAGGCAAAUCCGGAAAACCAAGGCUGAGGCGUGAUGACGAGGCACUACGGUGCUGAAGUGACAAAUGCCCUGCUUCCAGGAAAAGCCUCUAAGCAUCAGGUAACAUCAAAUCGUACCCCAAACCGACACAGGUGGUCAGGUAGAGAAUACCAAGGCGCUUGAGAGAACUCGGGUGAAGGAACUAGGCAAAAUGGUGCCGUAACUUCGGGAGAAGGCACGCUGAUAUGUAGGUGAAGCGACUUGCUCGUGGAGCUGAAAUCAGUCGAAGAUACCAGCUGGCUGCAACUGUUUAUUAAAAACACAGCACUGUGCAAACACGAAAGUGGACGUAUACGGUGUGACGCCUGCCCGGUGCCGGAAGGUUAAUUGAUGGGGUUAGCGGUAACGCGAAGCUCUUGAUCGAAGCCCCGGUAAACGGCGGCCGUAACUAUAACGGUCCUAAGGUAGCGAAAUUCCUUGUCGGGUAAGUUCCGACCUGCACGAAUGGCGUAAUGAUGGCCAGGCUGUCUCCACCCGAGACUCAGUGAAAUUGAACUCGCUGUGAAGAUGCAGUGUACCCGCGGCAAGACGGAAAGACCCCGUGAACCUUUACUAUAGCUUGACACUGAACAUUGAGCCUUGAUGUGUAGGAUAGGUGGGAGGCUUUGAAGUGUGGACGCCAGUCUGCAUGGAGCCGACCUUGAAAUACCACCCUUUAAUGUUUGAUGUUCUAACGUUGGCCCCUAAUCGGGGUUGCGGACAGUGUCUGGUGGGUAGUUUGACUGGGGCGGUCUCCUCCUAAAGAGUAACGGAGGAGCACGAAGGUUGGCUAAUCCUGGUCGGACAUCAGGAGGUUAGUGCAAUGGCAUAAGCCAGCUUGACUGCGAGCGUGACGGCGCGAGCAGGUGCGAAAGCAGGUCAUAGUGAUCCGGUGGUUCUGAAUGGAAGGGCCAUCGCUCAACGGAUAAAAGGUACUCCGGGGAUAACAGGCUGAUACCGCCCAAGAGUUCAUAUCGACGGCGGUGUUUGGCACCUCGAUGUCGGCUCAUCACAUCCUGGGGCUGAAGUAGGUCCCAAGGGUAUGGCUGUUCGCCAUUUAAAGUGGUACGCGAGCUGGGUUUAGAACGUCGUGAGACAGUUCGGUCCCUAUCUGCCGUGGGCGCUGGAGAACUGAGGGGGGCUGCUCCUAGUACGAGAGGACCGGAGUGGACGCAUCACUGGUGUUCGGGUUGUCAUGCCAAUGGCACUGCCCGGUAGCUAAAUGCGGAAGAGAUAAGUGCUGAAAGCAUCUAAGCACGAAACUUGCCCCGAGAUGAGUUCUCCCUGAGACUUAGAGUCUCCUGAAGGAACGUUGAAGACGACGACGUUGAUAGGCCGGGUGUGUAAGCGCAGCGAUGCGUUGAGCUAACCGGUACUAAUGAACCGUGAGGCUUAACCUUACAACGCCGAAG